This 205-nucleotide long non-coding RNA is filed under the name Nicotiana benthamiana. RNAcentral's name for it is "long non-coding RNA (NBEN_LNC000176)". The record is from RNAcentral. Lineage: Eukaryota; Viridiplantae; Streptophyta; Magnoliopsida; Solanales; Solanaceae.
UUUUCCUGGGAUAUCCUUUUGGCAAAAAGGGUUAUAGAUUGUAUGAUCUUGCUUCAAAAAAAAUAUUUGGUCUCCAGGGAUGUCAUGUUUCAUGAAUCAUGUUUUCCUUUUAAAACUGUGUCUUCUUCUGCUCAUCCUUCUACUUCAUCUUUUCCCUUUGUUCCUUCUGGAGAACAUGAUGAUGAUUCUGAUUCUCCCAUACUUC